AGUGAACGCUGGCGGUAGGCCUAACACAUGCAAGUCGAACGGCAGCACAGUAAGAGCUUGCUCUUACGGGUGGCGAGUGGCGGACGGGUGAGGAAUACAUCGGAAUCUACUUUUUCGUGGGGGAUAACGUAGGGAAACUUACGCUAAUACCGCAUACGACCUACGGGUGAAAGCAGGGGAUCUUCGGACCUUGCGCGAUUGAAUGAGCCGAUGUCGGAUUAGCUAGUUGGCGGGGUAAAGGCCCACCAAGGCGACGAUCCGUAGCUGGUCUGAGAGGAUGACCAGCCACACUGGAACUGAGACACGGUCCAGACUCCUACGGGAGGCAGCAGUGGGGAAUAUUGGACAAAGGGCGCAAGCCUGAUCCAGCCAUACCGCGUGGGUGAAGAAGGCCUUCGGGUUGUAAAGCCCUUUUGUUGGGAAAGAAAAGCAGCAGGUUAAUACCCCACUGUUCUGACGGUACCCAAAGAAUAAGCACCGGCUAACUUCGUG
This 492-nucleotide ribosomal RNA is filed under the name uncultured bacterium. Its description in RNAcentral is "partial 16S ribosomal RNA". It matches the Rfam family "Bacterial small subunit ribosomal RNA", at positions 29 to 507 of the family's 1533-position model. The record is from RNAcentral.